AGCCUACCAUUUGUGUCCUCUUGAGGUACCUGAAUUACCAAAAGCUAUGUAUUCUGAAGUUAUUGAAAAUAAGAGCUUUUGGGAAUUCAGGUAGUUCAGGAGUGACUUUUCUA
MicroRNA precursor from Chlorocebus sabaeus (green monkey), 113 nucleotides. Lineage: Eukaryota; Metazoa; Chordata; Mammalia; Primates; Cercopithecidae. The record is from Ensembl.